GUACUGGGACGAUUCCGCGGAGCCGGGCAGAGGUUUUAGGGGUGCGCAGGAGUCAAGUGGUGGUUCAGUGGGGACGGAAUGAUUAACAAAGGCGUCCGAAGAAAUCGUUGUUGGAAGGUGACCAAGGUGGAAAGAGACGUUGCUUUGGCCCUGCAAGUAAGAAGAGAGAGGGAAUAGCCUGAAGGAGUAACACUAAAUUUAAAAUGACACUUUUUUACCAACCAGCGAAAGCAGAUGUUCAAAGGGGAUAUUGGCCAGGUGCGGUCGCUCACGCCUUUAAUCCCAGCACUUUGGGGGCAGACGCGGGGAGAUAGCGUGAUUCUAGGAGUUCAACCCCAGCCUGGGCAACAUGCGGAGACCCCGUACCGUCUCUACAAAAACAUUAAACAAAAAAAUUAGCUGGGCAUGGUGGUGUACCCCUGUAGUUGCAGCUACACUAGAGGCUGAGGUGGGAGGAUCGCUUGAGCCCGGGAUGUUGAGGCUGCAGUGAGCCUCGAUCCUACCACUGUGCUCCAGCCUGGGCGACAGCAAGCCCGUGUCUCAGAAAAGGCGGGAGGGGUGGGAUAUUAUUGAUGAUAGGCCUUCUGACGUCUGGCAAUAGAUUCCAGAGUAACAUCGGUCAUGGAUAAAUUUUUUUUUUAACUAAGUGACUGAAACCAAAGUUAAUUGUCUUUUGAGUGAUUUUGCACAGUAUCUCAAAAUGAACUGUACUUUUUUUCUUGUGUCACUGAAACAGUGCUGUGUGUUCUUUUUCAGAGUCUGUCACACUAAGAUGAGAAAUGUCCUUUCUUCCUGAAGGUGUCUGAUGUGUAAAAAUAUGAUAUACUUUGUGCUGUUUCCUCC
This 843-nucleotide long non-coding RNA is filed under the name Homo sapiens (human). RNAcentral's name for it is "HSALNT0364141". The record is from RNAcentral. Lineage: Eukaryota; Metazoa; Chordata; Mammalia; Primates; Hominidae.